AACGUUCGUAGCCGGCUGAGUAAAUGCUUGGGUAAAUCGUGCCGCUUAACGGUACGAAUUCCGGGUAGACUGCUCAGCUUGAGACCGGGAGAAGCUAGAGGUACUCCUGGGGUAGAGGUGAAAUUCUGUAAUCCUGGGGGGACCACCAGUGGCGAAGGCGUCUAGCUAGAACGGGUCUGACGGUGAGGGACGAAACCCUGGGGCGCAAACCGGAUUAGAUACCCGGGUAGUCCAGGGCGCAAACGCUGCUUGCUUGAUGUUAGCUGGGCUCCGGGCUCAGCUAGUGUCGGAGAGAAGUUGUUAAGCAAGCUGCCUGGGAAGUACGAUCGCAAGAUUGAAACUUAAAGGAAUUGGCGGGGGAGCACAGCAACGGGUGGAGCGUGCGGUUUAAUUGGAUUCAACGCCGGAAAACUCACCGGAGGCGACGGUUACAUGAAGGCCAGGCUGAUGACCUUGCCUGAUUUUCCGAGAGGUGGUGCAUGGCCGCCGUCAGUUCGUACCGUAAGGCGUUCUGUUAAGUCAGAUAACGAACGAGACCCUCAUCCUUAAUUGCUACUGAUUACUUUGGUAGUCAGGCACAUUAAGGAGACCGCUGGCGAUAAGUCAGAGGAAGGCGAGGGCAACGGUAGGUCAGUAUGCCCUGAAUCUUCCGGGCUACACGCGCGCUACAAAGGCCAGGACAAUGGGUUUCAACACCGAAAGGUGACGGUAAUCUCGAAACCUGGUCAUAGUUCGGAUUGAGGAUUG
RNAcentral lists this ribosomal RNA (747 nucleotides) under uncultured Thermoplasmata archaeon. Its description in RNAcentral is "bacterial SSU rRNA". It matches the Rfam family "Archaeal small subunit ribosomal RNA", at positions 514 to 1263 of the family's 1478-position model. Lineage: Archaea; Methanobacteriati; Thermoplasmatota; Thermoplasmata. The record is from RNAcentral.